This 563-nucleotide long non-coding RNA is filed under the name Numida meleagris (helmeted guineafowl). RNAcentral describes it as "lncRNA (ENSNMEG00000001647.1)". The record is from RNAcentral. Lineage: Eukaryota; Metazoa; Chordata; Aves; Galliformes; Numididae.
UUUGAAGACGACUUUCCUAUCUCUAGCUGUCUAAGCUAAUUUUGAGGUACAAAUGGUAUGGGGUGAAAUGUGAUUUCACUAGCUUGGAUUCAACCCAGCUGUCCAGCCUGAUGCACCAGACUGUUUCGCUCUGUUAUUAAUUUACCUCAGGCCUGACCAUGGCUAUGCAAAGGUUCCUGUUUGUGAGAGGCUGGAGCAGCCAAGCUUUGCAAAGCUCAAACUAAGCUGGGAUGCGAUCAACCGAAGGAGGAGUCCCAUUGUGGUUGUCCAUCAUAUGUCCAUGCAAUACGUUGCAGAGAUAGUGGGAAUUUGGAGGAAUUUGAUGUGUUGCUGGGUAAUUUAUCUUAUUAAGUCAUCAUUGUUGAGUUCUUCCAUGAGAGUCAUCUGGAAUCCAGACAUGCAGUGACUUAAGUGACAAUCCAAACCACCAGAAUCCAGAUGUCUUCUCUAUGAUCAAACACAGCUCCUUCCAGAGAGAAAGGGAAAAUAUCGCAAAACAUCUAGAUGCCGUCGAAGGAUUUUCAUCUAAUAAAAAAAAUGUAAAAUUGAAUUUGUAUUUUGCA